GCGAGUUGCCGCAUAGCAUGGCUGCCGAUGAGUGGUGCAGGUCCGUGCCUGGGAACUGAGUCUGGGAUGCCGGAGUGGAGCAUGCUGACUUAACCACUAGGGCCCUGACAACCUCCAUUCUACUUUCUGUAUCUAUGAAUUUGAUUACUCGAGAUACUUCAUCUAAGUGGGAUCACACAGUAUUUUUUUUGUGACUGGCUUAUUUUACUUAGCAUAAUGUUCUCAAGGUUUGUCCAUGUUGUAGCAUGUGCCAGAAUUUCUUUUCUUUUUAAGGCUGAAUAAUAUUCCAUUGUUUGUGUGUUUUGUUGAUCCAUUCAUCAGUUGAUUCAUACUUGGGUUGCUUCCACCUUUUGGCUACUGUGAAUAAUGCUGCUUUGAACAUGAGUGUACAAAUAUCUCUUCGAGACCCAGAGGUGGAAUUGCUAGAUCGUAUAAUAAUUCUAUUUUUAAUUAUUUGAGGAACUGCCAUACUGUUUUCCAUAGCAACUUAACCAUUUUACAUUCCCAUCAACAGUUUACAGGGUUUCAAUUUCUCUACACCCUUGCCAACACGUUUUUUUUAAUAGUAGCCACCGCUGUGAUUUUGAUUUUGAUUUCCUUAAUGAUUAGUGAUGUUGAGCAUCUUUUCAUGUGCUUGUUGGCCAUUUGUAUAUCAUCUUUGGAGAAAUGCCUAUUCAAACCUUUGCCCAUUUUUUUAAUUGAGGUUUCUUUUUUGUUGUUGUUAUUGAGUUGUAGGAGUUCUUUAUAUAUUCUAAAUAUUGACCCUUUAUCAGAUAUAUGAUUUGCCAAUAAUUUCUCUCAUGUUGUAGGGUUUUUUACUCUGUUGAUUGUGUCCUUUGGUGCACAGAAGUUUUUAAUUUUGAUGUAGUACAAUUUACCUAGUUUUACUUUUGUUACCUGUGCUUUUAGUGUCAUAUCCAAGAAAUAAUUGCCAAAUCCAAUGUCAUGAAGCUUUUCUCCUAUGAUUUCUUCUAAGAGUUUUAUCUCUUAUGUUUAGGGCUUUGAUUUGUUUUGAGUUAAUUUUUGUUUAUGCUGUAAUGUAACGGUCCAACUUCCUUCUUUUGUAUAUGGAUAUCCAAUUUUCCCAAUACCAUUUGUUGAACUUCCCAUUAUUUCUUAAAUGGCAUUAUUUGACUCUGUAACCUACAAGACAUUAAAAUACAAAAAGCACUUAAGGUGCAUUAAAAUCUAUGAACCAGUAAGAAUCAUGGUGAUGCAACUGUAAGCCAAAUGAAUUUCUUCUGAGGAGAAAAGGCUGUGGCCAGCCUGUGAGGCAAAAGUACUAAGCAGGAAAUGAAACUAUA
Molecule: long non-coding RNA, 1304 nt
Filed under: Equus asinus (donkey)
Lineage: Eukaryota; Metazoa; Chordata; Mammalia; Perissodactyla; Equidae
Description: lncRNA (ENSEASG00005038220.1)
Source: RNAcentral